This 543-nucleotide ribosomal RNA is filed under the name uncultured bacterium. RNAcentral's name for it is "bacterial SSU rRNA". It matches the Rfam family "Bacterial small subunit ribosomal RNA", at positions 358 to 916 of the family's 1533-position model. The record is from RNAcentral.
GGAAUCUUGCGCAAUGGGCGAAAGCCUGACGCAGCAACGCCGCGUGCGGGAAGAAGGCUUUCGGGCUGUAAACCGCUUUCAGCAGGAACGAAAAUGACGGUACCUGCAGAAGAAGGAGCGGCCAACUAUGUGCCAGCAGCCGCGGUGAUACAUAGGCUUCAAGCGUUGUCCGGAUUUAUUGGGCGUAAAGAGUUCGUAGGCGGUUAAGUAAGUCGGGUGUGAAAAUUCUGGGCUCAACCCAGAGACGCCACUCGAUACUGCUUGACUUGAGUUCGAUAGGGGAGUGGGGAAUUCCUAGUGUAGCGGUGAAAUGCGCAGAUAUUAGGAGGAACACCGGUGGCGAAGGCGCCACUCUGGAUCGAUACUGACGCUGAGGAACGAAAGCAUGGGUAGCAAACAGGAUUAGAUACCCUGGUAGUCCAUGCCGUAAACGGUGGGCACUAGGUGUGGGUUUCUAUUAACGGAAUCCGCGCCGUCGCUAACGCAUUAAGUGCCCCGCCUGGGGAGUACGGUCGCAAGACUAAAACUCAAAUGAAUUGACGG